This 383-nucleotide ribosomal RNA is filed under the name uncultured bacterium. RNAcentral's name for it is "bacterial SSU rRNA". It matches the Rfam family "Bacterial small subunit ribosomal RNA", at positions 29 to 414 of the family's 1533-position model. The record is from RNAcentral.
AUUGAACGCUGGCGGCAUGCUUCACACAUGCAAGUCGAGCGGCAGCGCGGGGGCAACCCUGGCGGCGAGCGGCGAACGGGUGAGUAAUACAUCGGAACGUACCCAGGAGUGGGGGAUAGCCCGGCGAAAGCCGGAUUAAUACCGCAUACGAUCUUAGGAUGAAAGUGGGGGACCGCAAGGCCUCACGCUUUUGGAGCGGCCGAUGUCCGAUUAGCUAGUUGGUGGGGUAAAGGCCACCAAGGCGACGAUCGGUAGCUGGUCUGAGAGGAUGAUCAGCCACACUGGGACUGAGAUACGGCCCAGACUCCUACGGGAGGCAGCAGUGGGGAAUCUUGCGCAAUGGGCGAAAGCCUGACGCAGCGACGCCGCGUGAGGGAUGACGG